AGGACACUUCCAGAGCAGUAUGCCUGGAAUGGAGACUCCAAGUAUCCUAGCAACCUGUCAAGAGCCAAAGUUGAAAUACACUGGAUCAGGAAGUGGGCUUGCCUGAUCAUGAAUUCAGCAUAUGAGAAGAAACACACUGAACUACGAUGGCGUGGACACUUUAUGAGUUACAUUUCUUUAUAAGCAGCUGCUGACAAUGCUGUUCUUAUAUGAUGUUUAGGGUGUUUAAAUACACAUAGUACAGUAUAAAACUUAGGGGGAAAAGAAAGACUGGUGGGAGAUGCUGACACUGCUCUGCAGAUCUACAGAUUUGUUAAGUGUUUCUGCCCAGCCAGAGAACAGUUUAGUUCUCUGAGCUUUUGUCUGACACCGGCCGGAUCCUGCUGCGACGUUUUGCUGCCAACAGCAAGGCUGCAUGUGUUCGGAGCUGACCGAUCCCCUGCAGUGGAAGAGCAGAAUCUCAUCCAAGAGCCUCUCCGCUGUGGGCUUUGCCAUUCAUGUUCUCACUUAACAGCCACAGCUGGCUGCUAUUACCCUUAAUUACGCUUCUCCUGGGCUCAGUAAAUGCUCUAUACGUCUGGAAACUAUUAAAAAUGUGUACAGUGAUUGGAAACCUGAGCUCUCAAACACUCUUCUUUCUCCUGAGAGGCUUUUCUUAAAAUCUUUGUCCCAGACAGCUCUCAACCCAUCUCAAUUCUAGUAUGUAAUCUCAGUUUAUUAGAAUCAGGUAUUAG
RNAcentral lists this long non-coding RNA (734 nucleotides) under Homo sapiens (human). RNAcentral describes it as "HSALNT0010784". Lineage: Eukaryota; Metazoa; Chordata; Mammalia; Primates; Hominidae. The record is from RNAcentral.